CGCGCUAUUUAGCUAKGUUGUAGGUAGGUUCACAGCAKGAUCGUACGACUGARGGUAUCGCCCAUGACUGAGACCGCCAGUCCUACGGAGGCAGCAGUAGGGAUCUCACCAUGACGCCAGUCUGAUGAGCACGCCGCGUGAGKGAGAAGGGUUCGGCUCGUAAGCUCYKUUGUAAAGAAGACGUGGGUAAGAGUACCUGUUUACCCAGUGACGGUAUUUAACCCAGAAAGCCACGGCUAACUACGUGCCAGCAGCCGCGGUAAUACGUAGGUGGCAAGCGUUAUCCGGAUUUAUUGGGCGUAAAGCGAGCGCAGGCGGUCUUUUAAGUCUAAUGUGAAAGCCUUCGGCUCAACCGAAGAAGUGCAUUGGAAACUGGGAGACUUGAGUGCAGAAGAGGACAGUGGAACUCCAUGUGUAGCGGUGAAAUGCGUAGAUAUAUGGAAGAACACCAGUGGCGAAGGCGGCUGUCUGGUCUGCAACUGACGCUGAGGCUCGAAAGCAUGGGUAGCGAACAGGAUUAGAUACCCUGGUAGUCCAUGCCGUAAACGAUGAUUACUAAGUGUUGGAGGGUUUCCGCCCUUCAGUGCUGCAGCUAACGCAUUAAGUAAUCCGCCUGGGGAGUACGACCGCAAGGUUGAAACUCAAAAGAAUUGACGGGGGCCCGCACAAGCGGUGGAGCAUGUGGUUUAAUUCGAAGCUACGCGAAGAACCUUACCAGGUCUUGACAUCUUCUGACAGUCUAAGAGAUUAGAGGUUCCCUUCGGGGACAGAAUGACAGGUGGUGCAUGGUUGUCGUCAGCUCGUGUCGUGAGAUGUUGGGUUAAGUCCCGCAACGAGCGCAACCCUUAUUACUAGUUGCCAGCAUUAAGUUGGGCACUCUAGUGAGACUGCCGGUGACAAACCGGAGGAAGGUGGGGACGACGUCAAAUCAUCAUGCCCCUUAUGACCUGGGCUACACACGUGCUACAAUGGAUGGUACAACGAGUCGCGAGACCGCGAGGUUAAGCUAAUCUCUUAAAACCAUUCUCAGUUCGGACUGUAGGCUGCAACUCGCCUACACGAAGUCGGAAUCGCUAGUAAUCGCGGAUCAGCAUGCCGCGGUGAAUACGUUCCCGGGCCUUGUACACACCGCCCGUCACACCAUGAGAGUUUGUAACAYMCAAAGCCGGUGGGGUAACCUUUUAGGAGCUARCCKUUUUUWUUWAGG
This 1207-nucleotide ribosomal RNA is filed under the name Pediococcus pentosaceus. RNAcentral's name for it is "bacterial SSU rRNA". Lineage: Bacteria; Bacillati; Bacillota; Bacilli; Lactobacillales; Lactobacillaceae. The record is from RNAcentral.